This 497-nucleotide ribosomal RNA is filed under the name uncultured bacterium. Its description in RNAcentral is "partial 16S ribosomal RNA". It matches the Rfam family "Bacterial small subunit ribosomal RNA", at positions 28 to 507 of the family's 1533-position model. The record is from RNAcentral.
GAUGAACGCUGGCGGCGUGCCUAAUACACGCAAGUCGAGCGAACAGAUGAGGAGCUUGCUCCUCUGACGUUAGCGGCGGACGGGUGAGCAACACGUGGAUAACCUACCUAUAAGACUGGGAUAACUUCGGGAAACCGGAGCUAAUACCGGAUAAUAUAUUGAACCGCAUGGUUCAAUAGUGAAAGACGGUUUUGCUGUCACUUAUAGAUGGAUCCGCGCCGCAUUAGCUAGUUGGUAAGGUAACGGCUUACCAAGGCAACGAUGCGUAGCCGACCUGAGAGGGUGAUCGGCCACACUGGAACUGAGACACGGUCCAGACUCCUACGGGAGGCAGCAGUAGGGAAUCUUCCGCAAUGGGCGAAAGCCUGACGGAGCAACGCCGCGUGAGUGAUGAAGGUCUUCGGAUCGUAAAACUCUGUUAUUAGGGAAGAACAAAUGUGUAAGUAACUAUGCACGUCUUGACGGUACCUAAUCAGAAAGCCACGGCUAACUACGUG